This 1386-nucleotide ribosomal RNA is filed under the name metagenome. RNAcentral describes it as "bacterial SSU rRNA". It matches the Rfam family "Bacterial small subunit ribosomal RNA". The record is from RNAcentral.
AGAGUUUGAUCCUGGCUCAGGAUGAACGCUGGCGGCGUGCUUAACACAUGCAAGUCGAACGAACCUUCGGGUUAGUGGCGGACGGGUGAGUAACGCGUGGGAAUCUGCCCUCAGGAGGGGGAUAACGGCUGGAAACGGCCGCUAAUACCCCAUAUGCCGAGAGGUGAAAGGAAAUUCGCCUGAGGAUGAGCCCGCGUCUGAUUAGCUAGUUGGUGGGGUAAGAGCUUACCAAGGCGACGAUCAGUAGCUGGUCUGAGAGGAUGAUCAGCCACACUGGGACUGAGACACGGCCCAGACUCCUACGGGAGGCAGCAGUGGGGAAUUUUCCGCAAUGGGCGAAAGCCUGACGGAGCAACGCCGCGUGAGGGAUGAAGGCCUCUGGGCUGUAAACCUCUUUUCUCAAGGAAGAAGACAUGACGGUACUUGAGGAAUAAGCCACGGCUAAUUCCGUGCCAGCAGCCGCGGUAAUACGGGAGUGGCAAGCGUUAUCCGGAAUUAUUGGGCGUAAAGCGUCCGCAGGCGGCCCUGUAAGUCUGUCGUUAAAGCGUGGAGCUUAACUCCAUUUAAGCGAUGGAAACUACAGGGCUUGAGUGUGGUAGGGGCAGAGGGAAUUCCCGGUGUAGCGGUGAAAUGCGUAGAUAUCGGGAAGAACACCAGUGGCGAAGGCGCUCUGCUGGGCCUUAACUGACGCUCAUGGACGAAAGCCAGGGGAGCGAAAGGGAUUAGAUACCCCUGUAGUCCUGGCCGUAAACGAUGAACACUAGGUGUCGGGGGAAUCGACCCCCUCGGUGUCGUAGCCAACGCGUUAAGUGUUCCGCCUGGGGAGUACGCACGCAAGUGUGAAACUCAAACGAAUUGACGGAGGCCCGCACAAGCGGUGGAGUAUGUGGUUUAAUUCGAUGCAACGCGAAGAACCUUACCAGGGUUUGACAUCCUGCGAAUCCCUUGGAAACGAGGGAGUGCCUUCGGGAGCGCAGAGACAGGUGGUGCAUGGCUGUCGUCAGCUCGUGUCGUGAGAUGUUGGGUUAAGUCCCGCAACGAGCGCAACCCACGUCUUUAGUUGCCAGCAUUCAGUUGGGCACUCUAGAGAGACCGCCGGUGAUAAACCGGAGGAAGGUGUGGAUGACGUCAAGUCAUCAUGCCCCUUACAUCCUGGGCUACACACGUACUACAAUGCUACGGACAAAGGGCAGCAAGCUCGCGAGAGUUAGCAAAUCCCAUAAACCGUGGCUCAGUUCAGAUCGUAGGCUGCAACUCGCCUACGUGAAGGAGGAAUCGCUAGUAAUCGCAGGUCAGCAUACUGCGGUGAAUACGUUCCCGGGCCUUGUACACACCGCCCGUCACACCAUGGAAGUUGGCCAUGCCCGAAGUCGUUACUCCAACCCC